This is a long non-coding RNA of Diprion similis, 737 nucleotides long. RefSeq lists it as uncharacterized. NCBI's taxonomy places the organism in Eukaryota, Metazoa, Arthropoda, Insecta, Hymenoptera, Diprionidae. The record is from RefSeq and is a predicted model, not a curated record. The transcript is spliced from 3 exons.
UGUGUUUAAUAAUAAUUAAUAGGUCAUUACGAAAAAACAUUCAAUUCAAAGCAUAUGAGCCUGGCCUGAUAUAGCAGACGAGUAGUAAUAUAGACAUACGGUUGACUCAAUUCGUAGUCCUGCGACUCUUGUUCUCUCCUUCGUUUUCCUUUCAUUCAGGUUUCUUAUUGUAUAGUAGGUAAAACUUAUAAUUAGAUCCAUAAGCCACGUUGUACGAGAAACAUUUUGCACAAGUCGUAUCGACAUCCAAAAAUUAUUUUUAAUUGAUCUGCAAGCUUCAGGAUAAUUCGAUUAAUCACUUCAACAAAAAAGAAAUAAUGAGAGUAUUUUAUCCGCCAUUAAUCAUGAAAAGUAAGUUUGAGGCAUGAGGGCUUGCUUGCCUUCCCUUUUGCCUAGGUCAGAACAAAAAGUGGAGGCUGUACGUUACACCAAGCUAUAAUUGCCUAUUCGAACUUUUUCACAAUCCAGUGACCGAGAAAAUUAAAGUAGCCAUUCUCAGGAGCUGUGUUCAAUCACUAAAAAAGAAAACCAAUUUGAAAUAAAUGAAAUGAAAAUCUGACAAAUGAAUGACACAGAAUCCACAAAAGGAUGACAGAACUAAUUUUCAUGUUCUUUUAACAAACUGAUUGAACGUUACCAAAUCAAAGCAAUUGUCUCAGGCGACAAUCAAAUUUACUAAUGCUUUGCGGAAACCCAACCAAAUAAUUUUCUUCUUAAGGGCUGCAAAAUUUUCAGUG